GGAUGAGCCCGCGGCCUAUCAGCUUGUUGGUGGGGUAAUGGCCUACCAAGGCGGCGACGGGUAGCCGGCCUGAGAGGGUGUACGGCCACAUUGGGACUGAGAUACGGCCCAGACUCCUACGGGAGGCAGCAGUGGGGAAUAUUGCACAAUGGGCGCAAGCCUGAUGCAGCGACGCCGCGUGGGGGAUGAAGGCCUUCGGGUUGUAAACUCCUUUCGCUAGGGACGAAGCUUUGUUGUGACGGUACCUAGAUAAGAAGCACCGGCUAACUACGUGCCAGCAGCCGCGGUAAUACGUAGGGUGCGAGC
RNAcentral lists this ribosomal RNA (306 nucleotides) under uncultured bacterium. RNAcentral's name for it is "bacterial SSU rRNA". It matches the Rfam family "Bacterial small subunit ribosomal RNA", at positions 223 to 539 of the family's 1533-position model. The record is from RNAcentral.